GCAAGUCGAGCGCUACCUUCGGGUGGAGCGGCGGACGGGUUAGUAACGCGUGGGAACAUACCCAACACUACGGAAUAGCCUCGGGAAACUGAGAGUAAUACCGUAUACGCCCUUCGGGGGAAAGAUUUAUCGGUGAUGGAUUGGCCCGCGUUAGAUUAGAUAGUUGGUGGGGUAAUGGCCUACCAAGACGAUGAUGCAUAGCCGACCUGAGAGGGUGAUC
RNAcentral lists this ribosomal RNA (220 nucleotides) under uncultured bacterium. RNAcentral's name for it is "partial 16S ribosomal RNA". It matches the Rfam family "Bacterial small subunit ribosomal RNA", at positions 57 to 305 of the family's 1533-position model. The record is from RNAcentral.